CUUAAUGGACUGGUGUCCUGUCAAGGGUGUGUGUUUGUCUCUUUUAAUGGACUGGUGUCCUGUCAGAGAUGUUAUUUCAGGCGACGAAGGCUCCACAGCUGAAACGUUGUGUUUUCUUUUCAGCCUGGAAUAAGCCAAUCACUUGUUCCUAAGACAACCGUCCUCAUCGGCGGAGGAAGAGGUACCUUGUUUCCACCAUACGCCCUCUGCUUUCAUCAUGCUCUCACAAUGCUUCCCACUGGGGCUGGCAGCAGACUGAGCCACCGGCAGCGCUCACGUGGGCAGUGAGUGCUGCUCCGCCCUCCUCAGCACCCCCCCCACCCCGUAGUAAAUCCCUGCUUUGUCAGCAGCCAGCAGAGCACAUCACAGAGCAGGCGUGUUAAAACCCGCAGGAGAGCGUGGCUAAAUCAGGGGAAAUUCGUGCGAAACGAAGUGGAAACCUUCCCGAUUCACCACGGAGAACUCCACCGCAGGCAGGGACAGCGAAGCCCCUGUGUUCUCCAGAUCCUGGACCUGUGGAGGGUGCUCCGCGCUCGCUCUCUCCCCCGGUGAGGUAACCUCAGGAUUUCCUUGGAUUCAAAGGGGAAUAGUUGCACGCUUGGGAGUUUCACCAUCCGCCUUCGUGGCUGGUGUGUUUCUGUGGUGCCUUGGUGCUCGUACCACAAACUGGUGCAGUACCACCACCACCCUGUAGAUCGAGCAAGUCGGAUCUCAGAAGCUGAGCGAGGCAGGAUCGAGUCAGUGCUGGGACAGCAGGCCACUUCUGUAAGUGGUAUUGGUGGACCAGUAGGUGGCGCUCUUUCCUCUUGGAGCAGAAUUUUAAAACCAAUGGCCCAGUACACUCUGCUGAAGGAGGCAGUGUGCUCCGGAUGAGACACUGAAGUAGCCAGGACCUGACUACUCGAUCACGAACGAGCCCACGGUACUGUAGGAGUGUAGACCCCCCCACAGAGUGUAUGGUGCCUGCAGGGGCAGAAUGGCAGCUGGGCAGCACCCAGGAUGGACCUGCACUCUACCGCCCUCUAGUGUUGGGAUGAAGUGGGGAAGAUGAGGCCCAGACAAAGCAGAAGCACUGGGUCCCACAGAUGCAGGGAGAGAGAGAGCUGUGUCGCUCGGUUUUAACCACAAGCGAGGCGGCCUGGAGAGUGUGCAACAGCUGCAGUGAACUCGGCGGCCCUGCGCUGGAGGGGCUCAGUCAACACCAGGAGAAAUCCGCUGCAAUCUUCCCUGCAGCAGGGACCAGCUCAAGGACUCUGACCAGCGAGGAGAGGAGCUCGCGCCGCAUGACAAUGAGCUCAGUAUUCACUGUGAUCAAAGCGCUGUCGCGGUCGAUUCGCCUGCUCGUUUCCCAGCUUUCGCCUUUGGCAAAGAGGCAGAACGGCAGAAAAUCCGAGACCCUUUUCUUUUUUGACAGCCGCUGACGGCUGCGAGAUUUCACUUCCGGGGUCAAAGGCUGAGGUGGGGCGACAUCCUCUUGUUUCAUUCCGAAAAAAUGUAAACGAAUGACUUCUUCACCCAAAAAAACCCAACACACAUGGGCCGGCACCGAUCCGAGAGGCUUGACCGUUGUGCCGGCUUCCCCAGCGCCGUUCCGGCUGGGAUUAAGCAGCUCUGGAAUGCGCGGGCUCGCGGCGCGGAUCAUGAGAGAGAUCACGAGGGGCCUGACGAGAGCGCGGCUCCGUGAAGGAGCUCUGCGGGACAGGAAAGCGCUGUGCCCUUGAUACAGUCAGUUCCCAGGCCGCCAGCUCUCCCCCGCGCAGCGCAAACACCGCGUUCCCCAGAUAAGAUAGCGGGCGGAUUGUGCUUGCUCCGACAGAUCUUGGCCAAAACAACCUUUUUGUUUAUUCUGUUCGUUUUUUUCCCGGCCCCUCCCCGGAGGGAGGCCGUGCUGUAGAAAGGCUCCUGGCGGGCCGUCUCUCAGGGAGCCCUGGGCACAGGUGGGCAGCGGUGUGGCCCAGAUCGCCUGGAGGGCAGUGUGGACUGCGGAGAGGAACGCUGUUCCUACUGUGGAUAAAGCCCAGUCCCUCAUUCAGGAUCCCAGCCAUCCCGGACACAAACUGUUCUGCCCCCUGUGCCCUGGCGAGCUCUACCACACUGUUCAAGCACAGACCCCCAGACUGGAGAACAGUUCCUCCCCUCCUGCAGCAUCCAUCGUACACAGUGGACUGCAGAGCCUCUGUGCACCUCUGCACUUCUAGCUUGGACUGCCAGGUUUGUUUUUUUAAUUGUUCUGGUUGUUAUCAUUCAUGGCGUUUGUACUGCACUGCCUAGAUUGGGCGGUGUUGUCUGUCGCACUGUGUCGUCUGUCCUGAGAGAUCGGCGCGAAUAAGGCUUCCAAUACGAACACAUACAUGUGGCAGUGAACCCCACUGCUCCACUGCUCUACUCUACAGGGGCACAGGUACUCCAGCUUCGUCAACACCCAGUGAUUCUGCCGAUCCUUGGAUCUCGGACAGAGGGGGGGCUUGGGGGCCUGGUUUCCUGCUGCGGGACCGCCCUGUCCGUCCAGCGCCAUGCUGAAGCCCCGACGGGGUCCGAGAGAGAAGGACAGGCAGGGAGGGACAGGAGAAGAAGAAGAGAAGGACAGCAUGAGCCGGAACGAGACAGAGCAAGAGAAUCAGGGGGGCCGUCCAGGAGAGAGCAGGGAGCUGUGGCUCUGUGCGCACAUAGCGGGACAGAGGGUGCAGGAUCUGCACACAGGAAGGCGCGGAGACGGGGGGCCCGGCGCACGCCGCGGAGGAGAGCGCGGGCACGACGGCGCGAACGCGCCCCGCGCCCCCCAGACGGCCCUCGCCCCCGGCAGGGUCUGCGCCGGGGCGCGCGGAGGCGUCCGCUUCGCAGACCUGACCUACAUCUUUCUGCCCGAGCGAGCAGGGAGCCGCGCGGCUGAGGAGGGGGGAAACCAGGCAAGACGGGCAACAGCAGGCAACACCGGCGCCGCAUGGCAACAGCGUGGAAAAUCCCCUCUAAAAAUAGCCCCACAGCUGGCCAAGACGGUGCAGCCAAUAGCCUCUCAGAGAUAUGAGACGUGUGGGUCGUCCAGCCAGCCCACAGGCACACACUGCGCUGUCACCCGCAGCCUGCCGGGGGUGCCGUCGGAGCACAAGGCCAUCCGUGAUGACGGCGGGCACCUGGAAUCGGAGCCAGUCGGUGGAACAGCUCUGCUCCCGUGCUCCCUGCUCCAGGAUUGGGAACUAGGCUGCUGCAGCACGGAGAGAUGGGAAACCGAGCAGAGGAGCUCCAGCAGGCGCCUGCGGCUGGAACCUCUUCCUCCCCUGCUCUUUGUCCUGCACUUGUGGGUUUGCCUGAGCCUCUCAUCUGGGGCUGGGGCGGUUUUACCAGUGGGACACGGCCCCCCCCACACCGCCAGCUCCGGGGCGAGAGGACCGACACAGACCUGCGGCUCGCCCGCUCCACGUGCAACAGCUGCUCAGGGUGGAUACCCUGGUACCUGCUCAGGGUGCCCCAGCUAUCUGCCCGCUGAGGAAGACGGAGUGGGAUGAGGAGGGCAGCAGCUCUGAUUGGCACCUCACUGCACCUGUGCUGCCAUGGCGAUGACACGGCUGCGGUUAUUAAGCGAGCGGAGGAGUCCUGCAGCGGGUCACUGGGACAGCCCAGGAAAACACCGAGGAAAGGUUACUGCGCGAACAGACGCCAGCACAUUUUUUUCUCUCCCGGGAAGACGAG
Non-coding RNA from Lepisosteus oculatus (spotted gar), 3687 nucleotides. The record is from RefSeq and is a predicted model, not a curated record. Lineage: Eukaryota; Metazoa; Chordata; Actinopteri; Semionotiformes; Lepisosteidae.